AGCGAACGCUGGCGGCAGGCCUAACACAUGCAAGUCGAACGAAGUCUUCGGACUUAGUGGCGGACGGGUGAGUAACACGUGGAAACGUACCUUUUGGUUCGGAACAACUCAGGGAAACUUGAGCUAAUACCGAAUGUGCCCUUCGGGGAAAGGAUUUAUCGCCAUUAGAGCGGCCCGCGUUAGAUUAGCUAGUUGGUGGG
Molecule: ribosomal RNA, 200 nt
Filed under: uncultured bacterium
Lineage: Bacteria
Description: partial 16S ribosomal RNA
Rfam family: Bacterial small subunit ribosomal RNA
Source: RNAcentral